GACGAACGCUGGCGGCGUGCUUAACACAUGCAAGUCGAACGAAGAGCGAUGGAAGCUUGCUUCUAUCAAUCUUAGUGGCGAACGGGUGAGUAACGCGUAAUCAACCUGCCCUUCAGAGGGGGACAACAGUUGGAAACGACUGCUAAUACCGCAUACGAUCUAAUCUCGGCAUCGAGGAUAGAUGAAAGGUGGCCUCUACAUGUAAGCUAUCACUGAAGGAGGGGAUUGCGUCUGAUUAGCUAGUUGGAGGGGUAACGGCCCACCAAGGCGAUGAUCAGUAGCCGGUCUGAGAGGAUGAACGGCCACAUUGGGACUGAGACACGGCCCAGACUCCUACGGGAGGCAGCAGUGGGGAAUCUUCCGCAAUGGACGAAAGUCUGACGGAGCAACGCCGCGUGAGCGAUGACGGCCUUCGGGUUGUAAAGCUCUGUUAAUCGGGACGAAAGGCCUUCUUGCGAAUAGUGAGAAGGAUUGACGGUACCGGAAUAGAAAGCCACGGCGAACUACGU
This 509-nucleotide ribosomal RNA is filed under the name uncultured bacterium. RNAcentral's name for it is "partial 16S ribosomal RNA". It matches the Rfam family "Bacterial small subunit ribosomal RNA", at positions 28 to 506 of the family's 1533-position model. The record is from RNAcentral.